This is a long non-coding RNA of Passer domesticus (house sparrow), 859 nucleotides long. RefSeq lists it as uncharacterized. The transcript is spliced from 2 exons. NCBI's taxonomy places the organism in Eukaryota, Metazoa, Chordata, Aves, Passeriformes, Passeridae. The record is from RefSeq and is a predicted model, not a curated record.
GGGCCGUAGGCAGGCGCAGCGCCGGCAGCAGGCGCGGCACGGCCGGGGAGGCAGCGCGCGAAGGCGUCGGGCAGGGCCUGAGGGCGGCGCGGGGGUGGCCGUCACGGGGCUGAGCGGGGCUGUGCUUUGUGGCGCGAGCAUGCCGUAUUUUAUGUAUUCGGCUGAGAUGAAGCUCACGUUUCGACUUUCAGAAAUUCAUCAGCAGAGAUGGCCUUGAGAAGAGAUUUUAAGGUUCUGCCGUCUUUUAGGAGGAAGGGUUUUGCUGCAGAGCUUACUCUGGCACACAUCCCACCCCCGAUCCGAGGCUGUUGUGGUACGGUGGUGACUGAAGGAAACGGACAACCCCCAACGGAACAUUUCUGAGAUUUCCUGGAGUAGCAGCUUCUGGAGAUGCCUUGCUGAGCACUACCCCCACCCCUCCACCAGUCGGUCCACCCAGACAGUCAGGCACCCCUCCAAAGUGACAGAGCCUCCUUGCAAAACAAGGUGCCCCCCCCCCCCCCCCAAAACAGUCAAGGAUCCUCUCCCUGCUCUUCUGCAGGGGGACAUAUAUUCAGGGCUUCAUCUGCGCCUCCUCCCCCUUUAUUUGGAGUGUUUUAUUUCCACGAGCAACCCCUAACACCCUCUGGGUGAAAGAUGACACCCCUCGUGUCAGCCCUGCUAUGGUGGAUCUCAGGGCCUUUCUCCCCUCCUGUUCCUCUCCACAGCAGCAUGAGGCCCCUCACACUGUCUGAUCUGAGGGAGGCUCCCCGUGUUUUGGUGUGCCAGUUAGGGUCUGUGCCCCCUGGGAUCUGUGCUGGUUUCCCCUGGGGCUGACCUUGGCCGAGGGAAAUGCAGCAAUAAAGAAUGGAAUCUUGAA